AAGUCGUAACAAGGUUUCCGUAGGUGAACCUGCGGAAGGAUCAUUACCAAUUCAACGGUGUGGUCGCGGCCUCCGGGGGCUUGCCCCUGGGCGGUAGAGGUAACACUCUCACGCGCCACAUGUCUGAAUCCUUUUUUUACGAGCACCUUUCGUUCUCCUUCGGUGGGGCAACCUGCCGUUGGAACUUAUCAAAACCUUUUUUGCAUCUAGCAUUACCUGUUCAGAUACAAACAAUCGUUACAACUUUCAACAAUGGAUCUCUUGGCUCUG
This 270-nucleotide unclassified non-coding RNA is filed under the name Paraconiothyrium sp. RNAcentral describes it as "partial internal transcribed spacer region". The stretch from base 1 to 46 matches the Rfam family "Eukaryotic small subunit ribosomal RNA", at positions 1786 to 1831 of the family's 1831-position model. The record is from RNAcentral. Lineage: Eukaryota; Fungi; Ascomycota; Dothideomycetes; Pleosporales; Didymosphaeriaceae.